CCUACGGGAGGCAGCAGUAGGGAAUAUUGGUCAAUGGGUGAGAGCCUGAACCAGCCAUGCCGCGUGCAGGAAGACGGCCUUCUGGGUUGUAAACUGCUUUUGUCAGGGGAUAAAAUUUCCUUGCGAGGAAAAUUGAAGGUACCUGGCGAAUAAGCCACGGCUAACUACGUGCCAGCAGCCGCGGUAAUACGUAGGUGGCAAGCGUUGUCCGGAUUUAUUGGGUUUAAAGGGUGCGUAGGCGGCCUAUUAAGUCAGUGCUGAAAUUUCCCGGCUUAACCGGGAGGGUGGCAUUGAUACUGAUGGGCUAGAGUACAGAUGAGGUAGGCGGAAUUGACGGUGUAGCGGUGAAAUGCUUAGAUAUCGUCAAGAACACCUAUAGCGAAGGCAGCUUACUAGGCUGUAACUGACGCUGAGGCACGAAAGUGUGGGGAUCAAACAG
Molecule: ribosomal RNA, 439 nt
Filed under: uncultured Chryseolinea sp.
Lineage: Bacteria; Pseudomonadati; Bacteroidota; Cytophagia; Cytophagales; Fulvivirgaceae
Description: bacterial SSU rRNA
Rfam family: Bacterial small subunit ribosomal RNA
Source: RNAcentral